Molecule: transfer RNA, 68 nt
Filed under: Paroedura tanjaka
Lineage: Eukaryota; Metazoa; Chordata; Lepidosauria; Squamata; Gekkonidae
Description: tRNA-Trp
Source: RNAcentral
AGGUACUUAGGUUAUAACACAAACCAGGAGCCUUCAAAGCCCCAAAAAGUGGCCUCCACUAGCACCUG